Molecule: long non-coding RNA, 413 nt
Filed under: Gossypium barbadense (sea-island cotton)
Lineage: Eukaryota; Viridiplantae; Streptophyta; Magnoliopsida; Malvales; Malvaceae
Description: long non-coding RNA (GBAR_LNC009829)
Source: RNAcentral
AUCGGACGGUGGUGGGGUUGAAUUAACUCUCGAUUUGAUCUUAUCGACGGCGGCUUCGGAAAAACGGAAGAGUUUCUCCCUCAUCUGCGGCGCCGGCUGGCCUUGUUUGGUGGCGUCGUCGCCGUUGCAGGAAACAACCGGACUGAGGUCGAGCUUCACGCGGGUGUUUCGAGCUGUGGUCCGAUCAAGAAACGGCGGCACAACGACGGAGCUCGAAGUACCGUUACAGAUUUGAGCCCAAGAGCUCAUAAAAUGCCAAGUGGAGGUUCCGUCGAGGACGGCAUGGUUGAAAGCACACCCCAUUGCAACACCAUCUUUCAACUUCGUCAACUGUAUGGACAAAAGAGGCCUGUGAAGACCCUCCAAGUUCAAGACGCCAUUAAAAGGUAUCAAUUCCUUAAAUGAGCUCGUAC